CCAAUAGCGUAUAUUAAAGUUGUUGCAGUUAAAAAGCUCGUAGUUGAAUUUCGGGGUCAGUAGGUUGGUCGUGCCACUGGUAUGUACUGGUCUCACUGAUUCCUCCUUCCUGAUGAGCUGUAAUGCCAUUAAGUUGGUGUUGCAGGGAAUCUGGACUGUUACUUUGAAAAAAUUAGAGUGUUUAAAGCAGGCUAACGCUUGAAUACAUUAGCAUGGAAUAAUGAAAUAGGACGUUCGAUGCUAUUUUGUUGGUUUCUAGGAUUGACGUAAUGAUUAAUAGGGAUAGUUGGGGGCAUUAGUAUUCAAUUGUCAGAGGUGAAAUUCUUGGAUUUAUUGAAGACUAACUACUGCGAAAGCAUUUGCCAAGGAUGUUUUCAUUAAUCAAGAACGAAAGUUAGGGGAUCGAAGACGAUCAGAUACCGUCGUAGUCUUAACCAUAAACUAUGCCGACUAGGGAUCGGAUGAUGUUAAUUUUUUAAUGACUCAUUCGGCGCCUUACG
This 500-nucleotide ribosomal RNA is filed under the name uncultured Glomeromycotina. Its description in RNAcentral is "partial small subunit ribosomal RNA". It matches the Rfam family "Eukaryotic small subunit ribosomal RNA", at positions 591 to 1092 of the family's 1831-position model. Lineage: Eukaryota; Fungi; Glomeromycota. The record is from RNAcentral.